UACGGGGGGUGCGAGCGUUGUCCGGAAUCACUGGGCGUAAAGGGCGCGUAGGUGGUUUGAUAAGGGUGUGGUGAAAGUCCGGGGCUCAACUCCGGAUCUGCCGUGCCGACUGUCAAACUCGAGGGCUGUAGAGGCAGACGGAAUUCCGGGUGUAGCGGUGGAAUGCGUAGAGAUCCGGAAGAAGACCGGUGGCGAAGGCGGUCUGCUGGGCAGUUUCUGACACUGAGGCGCGACAGCGUGGGGAGCAAACAGGG
This 254-nucleotide ribosomal RNA is filed under the name uncultured bacterium. RNAcentral describes it as "partial 16S ribosomal RNA". It matches the Rfam family "Bacterial small subunit ribosomal RNA", at positions 524 to 777 of the family's 1533-position model. The record is from RNAcentral.